GUGCCAGCAGCCGCGGUAAUACGUAGGGCGCAAGCGUUGUCCGGAAUUAUUGGGCGUAAAGAGCUCGUAGGCGGUCUGUCGCGUCUGGUGUGAAAUCCCAUGGCUCAACUGUGGGCUUGCAUCGGGUACGGGCAGACUAGAGUGCUGUAGGGGAGACUGGAAUUCCUGGUGUAGCGGUGGAAUGCGCAGAUAUCAGGAGGAACACCGAUGGCGAAGGCAGGUCUCUGGGCAGUUACUGACGCUGAGGAGCGAAAGCAUGGGGAGCGAACAGGAUUAGAUACCCCCGUAGUCC
This 292-nucleotide ribosomal RNA is filed under the name uncultured bacterium. Its description in RNAcentral is "partial 16S ribosomal RNA". It matches the Rfam family "Bacterial small subunit ribosomal RNA", at positions 505 to 796 of the family's 1533-position model. The record is from RNAcentral.